UACGGAGGGUGCAAGCGUUGUUCGGAAUCACUGGGCGUAAAGGGCGUGUAGGCGGCCCGCUAAGUCUGAUGUGAAAGCCCGGGGCUCACCCCCGGAAGGGCAUUGGAAACUGGCGGACUCGAGUCCCGGAGAGGAGGGUGGAACUCCCGGUGUAGCGGUGGAAUGCGUAGAGAUCGGGAAGAACACCAGUGGCGAAGGCGACGUGCUGGGUUGCACCUGACGCUGAUGCGCGAAAGCCAGGGGAGCGAACGGG
Molecule: ribosomal RNA, 253 nt
Filed under: uncultured bacterium
Lineage: Bacteria
Description: partial 16S ribosomal RNA
Rfam family: Bacterial small subunit ribosomal RNA
Source: RNAcentral